UGCAAGUUGGCGUUAUUAAGCCCUGGUUGC
Molecule: non-coding RNA, 30 nt
Filed under: Mus musculus (house mouse)
Lineage: Eukaryota; Metazoa; Chordata; Mammalia; Rodentia; Muridae
Source: RNAcentral